UCAGACCAGGCCCGCAGUAGGAACGGCCGAACGGCCUGCGCCCCGGUGGAGCCCCGCGAGCCCCGAAUCCCUGCCUCCCUCACAGGCGGGGGUUCCUGCGAAUGCAGGACAACUGGGCCCUUGCCCUCUGCCUCAUUCUCCUAGAGAGUCUCUGUGCUGUUCGUCUCAUCUCCGGGGCUGGAGAGGUUAGACACUAAGCCACAGACUGAGUCCUGGGACAAGAUUCUCCGCAACAAAGCCAGAAUUGUUCCAGAUGCCUCUGCCCUGAGACUUGUCUGGCCUGGGCAGUUAGAACAAGGACGUGAAUCUCAAAACUGACUGGGAGUGGCAGGCCUGGAAAAGGGCCGUUGUCUCUACUGUGUGGACGCCCUGGACCUGACCACGCAGGACUAUAUGUGUAAUCCAAGCUACCCAGAAGACUGAAACAGGAAGAUCAAAGUUCAAGGCCUGCUAGGUCACAGAGUGCAUUCAAAGCCAGCCUGGAUAACUGAAACCCUGUCUCUAGCUACAGGCUCAGUUCACAGUGCUACUGUCAGCUUGGUGACCCGAGACUUCCCUCACCCCUACGAGCAGUUCUCUCUGCUCCAUCAACUCAAGGUCACAGCUUAGCACGGGUGAGUCCCUUACAGCCUUGCUGUGGUGGUCAGCGUGGUCGCAGAUUUCUGUGACCAGGAACUGAGCAAAGCCUGGAGAGACGCAACCAGGCAGGAGCGGAUUAUCUGAGGGCGGGGCCUGGGAGAGAUGAGAAUGGAUUAAGGCAGAAGAAAGAAGUUCUUCAAACUUAAGAGUCUUUUGGGUUACACAGAAAGGAUACUUUAAAAAAUAUCCUAAAACUAAAACAAAUAAAAAAAAUUUCAACAAAAUCCAAUUUAAUCUAAGAAUGCAAAAAAGAAAGAAAGAAAGAAAGAGAGGAAGAAAGAUGAAAAUAAAAGAAAGAAAUCAAGAAAGCUGUCCAUUUUAACAUUGCCUCCUGGAUGGAGGGGAGGACAUCAGCAAGAGAAUGAGGAACCCCCACUUUAGGACCCCAGGGCCUUUGACAGGACCGUGAAAAGGAUUCAGCCCCGGACCAACAUAGUUUUUUAUCUGUUUAUCAAUGAACAAAUUUCGUCCUACUGGAGAUUCAGAAAUAAUCACAGUAGCAGUCUCGGCAGCAUGUGCCAGGAGACAAGCUCUGAAGAGGACAAACGAGACAGGAGGAUCAAGAAUUUGAGGCCAGCAUGGGCUUUACCUGGGCAGUGUUGCUCAAGUUUGAAAUGCUAGCCCUUGGGAGUAAAAAGGGCUGAUGAGGAGCUCAGGCCCAUCCUGCUGGCUAUGCUGUCAGUUCCAGACCAGGCAAAGCUAUGUGAGACCUUAUCUCAAUAAACAAAAUUAAACGCCAAAAGAAAAA
Molecule: long non-coding RNA, 1387 nt
Organism: Rattus norvegicus (Norway rat)
Lineage: Eukaryota; Metazoa; Chordata; Mammalia; Rodentia; Muridae
Source: RefSeq, a predicted model, not a curated record